UCGGAUAUGGUGUAACGGCUAACAUGGCUGUCUUUCAGGAAAGGCAAAGUCAGAACCUCUGAUCACAGCAGCCCCGGGUUCGACUCCCGGUAUCCGAA
Molecule: non-coding RNA, 98 nt
Organism: Imleria badia
Lineage: Eukaryota; Fungi; Basidiomycota; Agaricomycetes; Boletales; Boletaceae
Source: the annotation of a GenBank genome assembly